GGAAAAUCCAUCGUUAGAAUACCUGCCUGUCACGCAGGGGGUCGCGGGUUCGAGUCCCGUCCGUUCCGCCA
RNAcentral lists this transfer RNA (71 nucleotides) under Escherichia coli. RNAcentral describes it as "tRNA-Asp". It matches the Rfam family "tRNA". From Rfam's summary of the family: Transfer RNA (tRNA) molecules are approximately 80 nucleotides in length. Their secondary structure includes four short double-helical elements and three loops (D, anti-codon, and T loops). Lineage: Bacteria; Pseudomonadati; Pseudomonadota; Gammaproteobacteria; Enterobacterales; Enterobacteriaceae. The record is from RNAcentral.